UAAAAAAUUUCAGAAAUAUUUUUGCGUUUUCUUUGCAUAUCAUACACAUACACACACACACAUACAUACAUACACAGUCACACUAGAACUGUACUGGCAGUGAACAUAGGUUGUUUAAAGUAUAGCUAUUCAACUGUCAUAUAAAGUGAAAUCUAUAUUUUCUCUCUCCCUAUAUGACUAUAUAUUUAACAUCUCUAUGCAUAUGUGUGUGCAUACAUAUGUAUAUGUUAUAUACACACACUCCACAUUAUUAUUUCAAAGGGGAUUUUGCUCCUUCUGGCUACCAGCAAUAACUAGUCAAUAUUUACACUCUUGAAUAUCGAUGACAUCAUGCAUACACAGGAAAGCUGUGGAAAACAUCUCCAUUUUCAAACAGAGUUUUAAUUAUUUGUAAAGACUUCAAUUGUUCACUAAUGUCAUGGAUUGGUCCUCACAGUGUGAAGUGCAACUGCCCAGAUCCCCCACAGUAUUAUAAAUAGUCUUCUAAAGCCGGGUUGAUUGAUGUUUGGCAUAAAACUCUAUUCCUCUGAGCACAUAUAUUCCUUCUGUUCACUAUUUUCAUAGAAAAAUACCAGGGCUGAUUUUUUAUUCAAAUCUCCAAUUUAUGCAGGGUUUAAACUACUAAAUACUUAAAGCCGUUUUCAGAUCUUUCCCCCCUUUUCUGUUAGGUAGGUAACUAAAUCUUUGGCUUCAAUGCAAAUAAGAAUUGGAGAUUUAGCAGAUUCCUGUGGGGGAGAGGAAGAGUUUAUUAAUUAUAUUGAGAAUCAAAUAAUAUGCUUCUUUGACACUAAUGUUCCAUCUUUCUCCACCCCAAGUAUCCUAUGGGACAACUUUAAAGCCUUUAUCAGGGUCUAAAUUACUGCAUUUAUGGUUCCUUAGAAGUAGGAAUUUAAUGAAUGGCAUUCUGAGUUGAAGAGAGAAUUUGAAGGUUUAAGCUGCAACGGUGAAGCAAUUUUUUUCAAAGUAUGUGGCAGGGAUUGUAAUAUAAAACAUCAAAAAAAGCACAAUAAAAUACAUUUUCAUGAGUGUUAAUAAAUUUUUAAUACUGAUGAAAUGUAAAUUUUUCCUUCAUGACCCUUAUCUGCAUUUGACAGAGUCCAACAGAAAAUUUUAAGUACCUGUUUAAAGCAAUUUACAAGAUACUGUGGAGAUUCCCAGCAAUAAAGAAUGAAUUGAAUGGAAUGUGAAUCUACACUCAGGUGAAGCCAGGGUAUUUUGAACGUCCCUACAAGACUGAAGCACCACUGGGAAAUAAGUAAUAGAGAUGCCAUCAUUGUGGAGGUCAUAAUGCUUGUCCUGAACACGAGGGGUCUCUAGUGAGGCACCAAUUCAGCUCCUCUUCUGUGGAGAGACUACAUGGGUGCUGAAGAAACAAAGACACAACGCAGCUCCUCUCAAAGGAGUUCAGAGCUUAGCAGGGGAGACAGAACCAUGAAUGCAUAGUUACGCAUCAAUGUGCUGCACGAGCACUGAAGCCCAAGCACAAGCGGCCUGAGUCCCAAAAACAUUUGCUGACUGCUGUUCUAUCUAGGAUAUCAUCAGUGUGUAGAUGAUCAGAGUUCAUGUCAGUGUUCCUACAAGCCAAUGAAGAAAAACAGAGAUCUGUGUUCUGAAUGGAAAAAUUCCUACUGAUGCCAGUAAGUGAGCCAUCCAUCUAUGAUGUGUCUAUGGGGAAGAAAGUGACAUGAAUGAGUAAAAUAGAAUAUAUGCUUUAAAUCAUGAAAAUUGAGUCCAGAUGGAAAGGUUAGGAGGAAAUGGAGUGGAAAGGUGGAUGAAGAAGAGUGAGAACUCAUGCAGUCGUUGCGACUUGGUUGACACUUCCUUCCCUGUGACUACAAUUCCAAGUUCAGUACUCCUGAGCUUUUAUAGAUGGAUGAGAAUAUAGGGGGAAGAAACAAGAGGAAGGAGUUUUCUGAAAUCUCGGUGGAGAGGAGGGAGAAAAAAGAUGGGAAAAUGUUACAAGCAUUCUGUUCAUGUUGUAUCACUUAGUGCAGUCUUGUCUUCCCAGCCCACUAGUCUGGAACAAGUCAGUCUCAAACAUAACAACAGACACUGGGGAGCUCUCCAACAAAAGAUCACCUCCCAAAGAACAGGAUGGUGUCGAAGACUGAAUGCCAGCCUGAGGAAACAGAAAUACUACAGAAGCACGCCAGAGCCUGCAGUGUCUCCUCGCUGCCUCUCAAUGAACUGCUAAAAGACCAAGAACUCUGCUGAGAGAUAAGAAGAGGGGAGGGUGUGCUGCAGGUGGUGCUGGGAGGCCCAGACCUUCUCCUGACAUCUGGGGCUGGCUACAGGAAACAGAAACAUCACCCAGGCCUUGGCGCGAGACAGGACAGAGGCAGAUUGUGACUCAGAUCUGCAGGUGGAAAGUGGGCCUUUCGUUUUCUCCUAGGGGUAGAGCAAAGCCAGAGGGCUCAGUCAGAGGAAACCUAAGGCAGUUCAUGAUCCCUUCAACUUUAUACCAUUUCCUCAAAACUGCCUCCAAACAGUGGGCAACUGGAAAGGUGGUCUGACCUCCAGUGAUCACACAGUAUGCAUUAUAACAGAAGGCUGUCACUGUCAAUUGCAUGGCUCCCUCACUAUGCAUUCCUUCUAUCAAUUUACGACAACACACUGUAGUGAGUACCUGCACAUUGCUGGGUAUUUUGGCAGACAUUGAUAGUAGAUGAAUAACACCUGGUACUUGACCUUGAGACGCUCACUGCCUAGUGUGGGGAACCAAUGGUUGCAAUAUAAAGUAUUAACUAGAGGGAUAGAGGACUGCCUGAGGAUCUCUGCACUCAGAGGAAGGGCCAUGAGAUCAGCCAGGACAGUAGGGAGGCAGUGACUCAUGAAAUUAGCAAGUGGUGAGAAGAGGGCAGUAGAUUCAGCGGCUGCUAAAAAAGGUUACUGAACUUUUUGUUUCAUCAAUGCCAAGAAAUUAAUCUGUUUUAGCCUCUUUCAUGGCCUCUGUUUGAAAUUUUUUAACUUUUUUUUUUUUUUUAGAUUUAGGGGUACAAGGACAGUUGUAUUGCAUGAGUAUAUCAUAUAGUGGUGAAGCCUGGGCUUUAAGUGCACCUAUCACCCGAAUAGCGUACAUUGUACCCACUAGGUAGUAUUUCAUUUCUCACCCUUCUUCCACCUUUUGGAAUCUCCAGUGUUUGUUGUUCUACUCUGUAUGCCCAUGUGUACUCAUUGUUUCACUCCCACUUAUAAGUGAGAACAUGUGCUUUUGACUUUCUGUUUCUGAGUUGUUUCACUUAGGAUAAUGCAUGUUCCUGUUUUGAUUCAGUCAAAAUCCUGGGGUCAGCACUGACAAUGUGAUUAACCCCUGUCCUAAAUUCACUGCAGAGGAACUGCUCCCAUAUGACUACUUAUUACCACCCAAGCCAGAAACCACAAAGAUAUUCUGACCUCUCCUCCUUCACUCCCCACCAACUGGUGAGUAAGCUAGUCACCAAGUCUUGAUUCUACUUGCAAACAUCUUUGGAAGGGAUCUCUCACUCCACACAGUCUCUGUCAUUGCCAAGUAUACCCAUUACCUCUGCUCUGUCCUACGGCUCAUCAUUCCUCAUCUACAUGCUGCACCAACCUCCUAACUCCCAUUCCUCCCCCUCCUAGUUCACUGCCAUAGCGUAAUCUUUCUAUAUCACGGAUCAUAUUGUGUCCGAAAUUGGUGGGUUCUUGGCCUCACUUACUUCAAGAAUGAAGCUGCAGACCCUCGUGGUGAGCGUUACAGUUCUUAAAGGUGAUGUGUCUGGAGUUUGUUCCUUCUGAUCAUGUUCGGAGUUUCUUCCUUCUGGUGGGUUCGUGGUCUCGUUGGCUUCAAGAGUGAAGCUGCAAACCUUCAAGGUGAGUGUUACAGCUCUUAAGGCAGCGCAUCUGGAGUUGUUUCUUCCUCCCGUCCGGAGUUGUUCAUUCCUGCUGGUGGGCUCAUGGUCUCGCUGGCCUCAGGAGUGAAGCUGUAGACCUUCGCAGUGAGUAUUACAGCUCAUAAAGGCACUGUGGACCCAAAAAGUGAGCAGCAGCAAGACUUAUUGCAAAGAGCAAAAGAACAAAGCUUCCACCCUGUGGUAGGUGACCCAGUGGGUUACCACUGCUGGUUCCAGCAGCCUGCUUUUAUUCCCUUAUCUGGUCCACCCACAUCCUGCUGAUUGGUCCAUUAUACAGAGAGCUGAUUGGUCUGUUUUACAGACAGCUGAUUGGUCUGUUUUGACAGGGUGCUGAUUGGUGUGUUUAUAAUCCCUGAGCUAGACACAAAAGUUCUCCAAGUCCCCACUAGAUUAGCUAGACACAGAGCACUGAUUGGUGCAUUCAUAAACCUUGAGCUAGACACAGAGUGCUGAUUGGUGUAUUUACAAUCCCUUAGCUGGACAUAAAGGUUCUACAAGUCCCCACUAGACUGAGGAGCCCAGCUGGCUUCACCUAGUGCCUCCUGCACCAGGGCCGCAGGUGGAGAUGCCCGCCAGUCCCGCCAUGCACCCGCACUCCUCAGCCCUUGGUGGGUUGAUGGCACCGGGUGCUGUGGAGCAGGGGGCGGAACUCAUCAGGGAGGUUCCGGCUGCACAGGAGCCCAUUGCUGGGGUGGGAGGGAGGCUCAGGCAUGGCGGGCUGCACGUCCCGAGCCCUUCCCCGCAGGGAGGCAGCUGAGUCCCUGUGAGAAUUCGAGUGCCGGCAGUGCUGGGGGACCGGGUGCACCCUCCACAGCUGCUGGCCCAGCUACUAAGCUCCUCACUGCCCGAGGCUGGUGGCGCCCGCUGGCGGCUCCGAGUGCGGGCUCGCCAAACCCACGCCCACCUGAAACUUGCGCUGGCCGGCAAGCGUGGUAUGCAGCCCCGGUUCCCGCCUGCGCCUCUCCCUCCACACCUUCCUGCAAGCUGAGGGAGCUGGCUCUGGCCUUGGCCAGCCCAGAAAGGGGCUCCCACAGUGCAGCGGCGGGAUGAAGGGCUCCUCAAGUGCGGCCAGAGUGGGCACCGAGGCCGAGGAGGCACCAAGAGCGAGCAAGGGCUGCGAGGGCUGCCAGCACGCUGUCACCUCUCAAUAUAACAUUUCUCCACUGCUUAAAAUCUAAUUUAUCCCUGGUUUCCUACUGUAAACAGAAUAAAAUCCUAACUUUUUAGUAUGAUCUAAAAAAUCCUUUAUGACAUAUUUAAACAGACACCACCAAAGAAGAUAUAGGCAUGACCAAUAGGCAUGUGAAAAGACACUCAACAUCAUUAGUCAUUCUGAAAUGCAAAUUAAAACCACAGUGAAAUAGCACUACACAGCUAUUAGAACGGCUACAAUUAAGAAGAUUCAUUGUAUCAAGUGUUGGCGAGGAUGUUGGGGAAAUGUAGGAAUGUAAAACUGUAUGGUAGGAAUGUAAAACAGUAUGAUUACUGCUGGUAGGAAUGUAAAACAGUAUGAUUACUUUGGAAAAUAGUUUGGCAAUUUCUUAUAAAGUUAAAGAUAUAUUUACCAUGGGCCCAGCCAUUCAACUCCUAGAUAUUACUUAAAAGUGAAAGCUUUUGUCCAGAAAAAGACUUGCACACAAAUGCUCAUGGAAAAUUUAUUUAUAAUAAUCGGAAGCUGGAAGCAAUCUAAAUAUUCAUUAAUGUCACAUUCAUUAAUAGUGAGUGGAUAAACACAUUCUUAUAUAUUCAUAUGAUGGAGUAGAGCAAUAAAAAGGGAUAAACUAUGGAUACCUGCAACUCUAUAGUUAUACUGAGUGAAAGAAAUCAGACAGAAAAGGAUGCAUACUGUGUGUAUUGGUUUGCUAAAACUGUCAUAACAAAGUACCAUAGACUAGGUAACUUGAACAACAGAACUUUGCUUUCUCAGAAUUCUGGAGGCUAGAAAUCGAAGAUCAAGGCCUUGACAGUGUUGGUUUCUUCUGAGGCCUCUCUCCUUGGCUUGUAGAGGCUGUCUUCCCACUGCGUCUUCACACGGUCUUCCCUCUGUGUCCAUGUUUUCUCUUCUCGUAAGGAUUCCAGCCAUGUAGGACUAGGGCCCACCCUAACGACCUCAUUUAACUUAAAUAUCCCUUUAAAGAUCCUGUCUGGAAUACAGUCACAUUCUGAGAUACUGGUCUGAGAUACUGGGGGUUAGGACAUCAACCUAUGAGUUUUGAAGGAACACAAUUCAUCCUAUAACAUGGUGUGAUGACAUUUAAUAAAAUUUUAGAAACUGCAACCCAAUUUA
Homo sapiens (human) is the source of this 6159-nucleotide long non-coding RNA. RefSeq lists it as uncharacterized. Lineage: Eukaryota; Metazoa; Chordata; Mammalia; Primates; Hominidae. The record is from RefSeq and is a predicted model, not a curated record. The transcript is spliced from 5 exons.